GUACACUCCUGCGGGAGGCAGCAGUGGGGAAUCUUGCGCAAUGGGCGAAAGCCUGACGCAGCCAUGCCGCGUGAAUGAUGAAGGUCUUAGGAUUGUAAAAUUCUUUCACCGGGGACGAUAAUGACGGUACCCGGAGAAGAAGCCCCGGCUAACUUCGUGCCAGCAGCCGCGGUAAUACGAAGGGGGCUAGCGUUGCUCGGAAUUACUGGGCGUAAAGGGAGCGUAGGCGGACAUUUAAGUCAGGGGUGAAAUCCCGGGGCUCAACCUCGGAAUUGCCUUUGAUACUGGGUGUCUUGAGUAUGAGAGAGGUGUGUGGAACUCCGAGUGUAGAGGUGAAAUUCGUAGAUAUUCGGAAGAACACCAGUGGCGAAGGCGACACACUGGCUCAUUACUGACGCUGAGGCUCGAAAGCGUGGGGAGCAAACAGGAUUAGAAACCCCAGUAGUCCCAUG
This 452-nucleotide ribosomal RNA is filed under the name uncultured organism. RNAcentral's name for it is "partial 16S ribosomal RNA". It matches the Rfam family "Bacterial small subunit ribosomal RNA", at positions 331 to 799 of the family's 1533-position model. The record is from RNAcentral.